This 253-nucleotide ribosomal RNA is filed under the name uncultured bacterium. RNAcentral describes it as "partial 16S ribosomal RNA". It matches the Rfam family "Archaeal small subunit ribosomal RNA", at positions 474 to 727 of the family's 1478-position model. The record is from RNAcentral.
UACCUGCAGCCCAAGUGGUGCUCGUUAUUAUUGGGUCUAAAACGUCCGUAGUCGGCUGAGUAGGUGCCCGGGUAAAUCGAGGCGCUCAACGUCUCGAAUUCCGGGUAGACCGCUCGGCUAGGGAGUGGGAGAGGUGUGAGGUACUCUGAGGGUAGGGGUAAAAUCCUGUAAUCCUUGGGGGACCACCAGUGGCGAAGGCGUCACACUAGAACACGUCCGACGAUCAGGGACGAAGCCCUGGGGCGCAAACGGG